UAACGGUUGACUAACUUCUGUUAGAGUCAAUGUAGAUUUAGGCACGUUUUAAGAAGUUCGGGUAGUUUUUUUGAAUUAUAAUUGAGUUGAGGUCGUAUUUGGCACUGAUCAAUUGUUCGGGUCGUAUUUGGCACGACUGAAAUAGUUGGAUGUUGCUAUGCAUAACAUAUUCUUCAUGUAGAUAGAUAUACAUUAGUUUCGCAUGUAUGGUUAGCCAUAUGGUGGUCAAUACUUCAUGUAGUUAGCAAUCAUUUAUUUUAUUUUAUUAUAAGGAACAUGCCAUGAUUUAAUACUAAUUAAUGUGCAUCUUCAAUUAAGAUGAAGGAUUUAAAACAAUUAAUUAAUGCAAUUCAUGGUGAUAUACUAUCUAGUUAAAAUUUUGAUAUUGAUACAUCUUCUAGUUUUAUUAUACAACAUUUUUAAAACCAAUGAUUAAAUAUUUUAUAAUAAACACAUAUUUAUAACUUUUAUUAUAAAGCAGAUAUAAACCUAAUCAUGUUCUAAAACAUAUUUUAAACAUUGUUAUAAUUUUACAAUAAUCAAAUACUAAUUAACUAGGUGUUUUGCCCACACAUGCGGACAUAAACGUCUUACGAACACUUAUUAAUUUUUGUUAUAUUGUAAAAAUAAUAGUAUAGAUUAACUGAAGUUAAUUAUUUUUAACCACAAAAUAUUUUGAUUUCUCUUAGUAUAAAUAAAAUACGGGAAAAAAAACAAACCAAAUUUUUCAAAAUAUAGUUAGUUUUUGGUAGGCCUUAGAUUUUGAACCAAACCAAACCAAAAUUUUGGUUAGGUCGUCCAGAAGUUUGGUUCGAUAUUGUAGGUUUUCUAAAAAAACUUCGGUUUCAUUUCAGUUUGGUCCGACAAUCAGUUACUUCGGUUUUCUUCUUAAAAGAAUUAUAACUAUACUAAAUAUUUUCGAAUAAGUAACCGAAUUUAAAUGAAAUUUUAACAAAAUUAAACCGAUAUCUAACUGUAAUAAAACAUUUUGGUAGGAUUUUUAAAACCGAACUAACCGAAUACUGUACCAAACUUUAUUUCUGAUUAAUUAGGUAAUAUGUAUGUUGAACCGAACUAACCGAAAACUGAACUACCCAAACUGAAUAUUCCGAACUAACCAAACCGGCAUGGUAAGAUUUCGGUAUUGUUUUGGUAAAAUCGGACCGAAGUAUACACCUUUCAUAAAAACUAAAAAAGAUGUAAAUGCUAAUUAAAACCUCUUUAGAAAUUGCUGACACUUGGAUGCCAAAGUUUGACCACAUGAAAUUGUUACCAUUCAGGAAUGUUUGACCACAUAAAACUGUUACCAAAACAAUACAGUUGAUGUUAACUAUAAGAAGGCCACCUCCCUUCUAUUCAGCACACACAUUACCUAGUUUCGUUUGAAGAAAACGGUUUUUCCUUUACAUCUAUAAAUAAAUUAUUCAUUACUUUUUUUAAAAUCUCCCAAAUUAUAUAACCUUUACAUUACAUUAUUUGAAUUCCAAAUAGUAAUUCUGUUUUCAACGAUCCUUUUGUUUUUAUGCGGUUUUUGAUAAUAUUUCAGGGUUUUUCUCCCAAACGAAAAUGAGUGACAAUAGUCAAAACGGUAUAAAACCGAUCAGCGAGACCUCAUCUGGAACCAGUUUAACAACUCCUCAGUCUAAACGAAGAUCUGGUGGUAUCGUUGAAAGAGUGUCUGCAAGGAUAGGAAGAGAUAUUCCACCGCUCAAUACGGAAUACAUCAACCUGACUUUUGUUCGUUUUCCUAUUAGCCUAACAUCUCCAGGAUUCAGUAGUCUCUCUCCAUCUUUGCAAUCUCCAAAUAUGUUCACUGACUCUUCUUCACAUGUAAGUAAAAAUGUGUUUAAUAAGUUUAAUAUUGAUCUCUACACGUUAUAUAUAUACAUAUAUAUUAAUAUAUGAUAAAACUAAAUGAUUAUUGUCUUUGUGUAACUCAUGUUUCAAGAUUAUCCCUCCGAGUCCAAUCUCGAAUGAUGCGACUCAGGAGAUGGUGGAAAGUUCAGGUGGCGCCCAUGCAACGAUGAUGAUAUCCAACAACAAUCUUCCUCAUCAGCCAAUGGACAUUGAUCUGUCUCCUCAAGGAUGUAAUAGAUUUAUAGUGUCUCGAACUAGCUUUCAGUUUUGAUUUUCCGAAUAAUAAUAUGGUUGUUAUUUACAGGUAAAAAAGGCAUUGCUGAUAUUCCAACGGAAGAAUCUGUUGAUAUCAUAUCUAAUGAAUCUAGUGCUGAUGCUGUUGGUGCUCCUUUACUCCCUUCUUUUGAUUCUGAAGUUGUUGCUGAAAAGGAUGCUAUGAACCUCAUCUCCUUUAAAAGUAGUGGCGAAGACGAUGACAAGGACAAAUAAUACAACCAAGAGAAAGACAAAGACAAAGAUCACAACAUUGUUGUAGAAUAAUAAUAAUAAUUAUAAUAAUAAUAAAAAAUAAAUAAAUAACAAUAAUAAUAAUAAUAAUAAUAAUAACAGUAAUAAUUAUAAUAAUAAUAAUAGAAGACAUGCACUUGCUGUUUAUAAUGGUCAUAAAAACAUACAUAUAUAAACAAAAAAAUAUUAAAAUUAAGAUAGAAGUUUUUAACGAAUAUUCAGCUAGAAGUUAAAUAUACUCUAUAAAUGUAUUAUACCCUGCAUGCGCAUAUAGGUUUCCCAUAUGUACUGAUCUCAAAAAUAUCAUAUUUGCAAUAGGGCCGGUUUAAAUUUUAGAAAAAAACUUGUAAUGCCCUACUCAAAAAUACAAAUUCAUGCCCUCAUUCUUCAUAUAAUUUUUUAUAAUGCCUUAUAUAGAACUAAACUUUUUUGUAAAAUUUUGGAUGUCCUAAGCGGCUGGUUCCUUUGUUUGUACACCGGACCAGGCCUGACUUGCAUAUAGCUUUUUUUUUAUCAAUUACACCAGAUAUUUGGUCACGGUAACAUCUUGCUAAUCUUGAUAUUAGAAAAAAAAGAAAGAAAAUCCAGCUGAUCAUAUGAAAAAAACAAAAAUAUUCUGAAAAUCCAUCACAUGUAAAAUAUAUGCACCAAUGUUUCAAUAAAUUGUUCUCAAGGAAAAUCACCAGGAAAAUAACGAGUGUAAACCUUAUCAUCAAAGAAGAAAAACAAAACCAUUCAUGCAUGACUUGGGUGACAUGCCAGACAAAAAUUCCCAAAGGCAUAAGAGAAAACCCCCAAUCAACUCUUACAUUGUGUCUGCAAUAAGAGAUUAACUAAGGUGUUUCCCAAUGUACUACUGUGGCUACCCUAAACAUUUGUCAUCACAUAAGCAACCAAAACUGCUCUGAAAAAACAUUCUUUACAGAUUAUAGAGAUAUAAAUACAGUUGAUAUAUUUUCAUGUAAUCUAUUAUACGAGUCUACUAUAUCCCGUUAGGAUUAGGAUACAACUUCUUGUAUAAAUACUCUCUUUUGUGAAUCAAUAUACAAACACUUAUCCAUUCUAUUUCAUGGUAUCAGAGAAUGAAGAUUCUCAAACCUAAAAUCUCUUCUUUGAUUGUUUUUUUUCUCUACACCUAUAUAUAAUCGAUUAUAUCGAACAAGGCCUUUUUGUCUUCUGUUACAUCUAUUACCACUUCUCCCGUGAUGGAGAUCUCUUCUUUGGAUCCUCACUAUACAACAUAUAUUUAAAACCAAUGAUUAAAUAAUUUAUAAAAAACACAUACUUAUAAUUUUUAUUAUAAAGCAGAUAUAAACCUAAUCAUGUUCAAAAACAUAUUUUAAACAUUGUUAUAAUCUUACAAUAAUCAAAUACUAAUUAACUAGGUGUUUUGCCCACACAUGCGGACAUAAAAGUCUUACGAAUACUUAUUAAUUUUUGUUUUAUUGGAAAAAUAAUAGUAUAGAUUAACUGAAGUUAAUUUUUUUAACCACAAAAUAUUUUGAUUUAUCUUAGUAUAAAUAAAAUAUGGGAAAAAAAACAAACAGUUUGUUUUUCAUAAUAUAAUUAGUUUUUGGUAGGCCUUAGUUUUUUAACCAAACCAAACUUCCCAAACCAAACAAAAAUUUUGGUUAGGUCGUCCAGAAGUUUGGUUAAAUAUUGUAGGUUUUCUAAAAAAAUGUCGGUUUCAUUUCAGUUUGGUUCGACAAUCGGAUCUUCUUAAAAGAGUUAUAACUAUUCAAAACAUUUUUCGAAUAACUAACCGAAUUUAUAUAUAAUUUUAACAAAAUUAUACAGAUAUCUAACUGUAAAAAAACAUGUUGGUAGGAUUUUUAAAACCGAACUAACCGAAUACUGUACCAAACUUUGUUUCUUGUUAAUUCGGUAAUAUGUAUGUUGAACCGAACUAACCGAAAAUUGAACUACCAGAACUGAAUAUUCCGAAUUAACCAAACCCGCAUGCUAAGCUUUCGGUAUUGUUUUGAUAAAACCGGACCGAAGUACACAUCUUUCAUAAAAAAUAAAAAGUAAAUGUUAAUUAAAACCUCUUUAGAAAUUGCUGACACUUGGAUGACCAAAGUUUGACCACAUGAAAUUGUUACCAUUUAGGAAAUUUUGACCACAUAAAACUGUUACCAAAACGAAACGGUUGAUGUUUACUAUAAGAAGGCCACGCCUCCCUUCUAUUCAGCACAAACAUUACCUAGUUUCUUUUGAAGAAAACAGUUUUUCCUUUACAUCUAUAAAUAAAUUAUUCAUUACUUUAUUUAAAAUAUCCCAAAUUAUAUAAAUCUUACAUUACAUUAUUUGAAUUCCAAAUAGUUAUUCUGUUUUCAACGAUCUUUUGUUUUUAUGCGAUUUUUGUUAAUAUUUCAGGGUUUUCUCCCCAACGAAAAUGAGUGACUAUAGUCAAAACGACAAUGGUAUAAAACCGAUCAGCGAGACCUCUUCUUGAACCAGCUUAACAACUCCUCAGUCUGAACGAAGAUCUGGUGGUAUCGUUGAAAGAGUGUCUGCAAGGAUAGGAAGAGAUAUUCCACCACUGAAUAUGGAACACAUCAACCCGACUCUUGUUUGCUUUCCUGUUAGCGUAACAACUCCAGGAUUCAGUAGUCUCUCUCCAUCUUUGCAAUCUCCAAAUAUGUUUACUGACUCUUCUUCACAGGUAAGUAACAAUGUGUUUAAUAUAUUGAUCUCUACACAUUAUAUGUAUAUAUUAAUAUAUGAUAAAAACAAUUUUUUAUUGUCUUUGUGUAACUUAUGUUUCAAGAUUAUCCGUCCGAGUCCAAUCUCGAAUGAUGCGAUUCAGGAGAUGGUGGAAAGUUCAGGUGGCGCCCAUGCAACAAUGAUGAUAUCCAACAAGAAUCUUCCUCAUGAGCCAAUGGAAAUUGAUCUGUCUCCUCAAGGAUGUAAUAGAUUUAUAGUGUCUCGAACUGGCUUUCAGUUUUGAUUUUCCGAAUAAUAAUAUUGUUGUUAUUUACAGGUAAAAAAGGCAUUGCUGAUAUUCCAACGGAAGACUCUGUUGAUAUCACAUCUCAUGAAUCUAAUGCUGAUCCUGUUGGUGCUCCUUUACUCCCUUCUUUUGAUUCUGAAGUUGUUGCUGAAAAGGAUGCUAUGAACCUGAUCUCCCUUAAAAGUGGUAGCGAAGACGAUGGCAAGGACAAAUAAUACAACCAAGAGGAAGACAAAGACAAAGAUCACAACAUUGUUGAAUAAUAAUAAUAAUUAUAAUAAUAAUAAUAAUAAUAAUAACAAUAAUAAUAAUAAUAAUAAUAAUAAUUGAUAUAUUGAAAAAUAUGUUUGACCUGAAUUACAUGAUGUACACAAUCUUGUACUUAUCCCCGUCAUUAUGAUUCUAGUAUAGAUUUUGAAUUCUUGGUUUAGAAUAAUUAUCAAUAUAAAAAAUUUGAUAAAUAUAAGAAAUUUAGACCUGAGAAAUGAGGAGAGAGUUACUCAAGAGGACGAACAUCGCACCUGACUGCAACCUCGGGGUAGCUGGCUCUUCAAAGUAUCCUCUCAAACAUAUCCUAAGCUCUAUCGCAACCAAUUUAUCCACUUUGAUCUUUGUCUUUUCUCUCAUAUCCUUACAAACUUCUUCGGUACAUGUUGUAAACACAGCCUUGGAUCGAUUCUUUGCAUUAGGUAACGGAACUCCAGAUUUCACCGUAUAUAAAAUGAAUGAAAAACUGCUGUUACAAAUAAACCAUAUAAAUACUAAAUUGCUUUUAUGAAGAGUAACUGAUUUAGAACACUUACCAAGAUCAAUUUUCUCCCAAACAUCAUCAAGAAACAAAAUGAACCGUGUCUUAAUAUCUCAAUGAUCUUUGCAGCUUACUCUCUUUCCUGUCCAAAUCCUAUCUGAAAAUCCAGUCUUCUCCCUAGUUGGUCAGAUCUAGAAGAGUAAGUAGACCCUGAUUCUAGUUGUCAAGCUUGUGAUAUUGUUGUAGGGUUUUUCUGGCUGGUUAACUUGUUAAUAAGUUUACCUGAAUGAAUCUCAUAUCUCUGGUUUGAGUAGAUUCUAACAUUCACUACAGGUACAUAUAUAUAUAUGUGUUAAGUGAGUAAGAUAAAAAGUACAACACUGUCCAGUUCAGGAACUAAAAAAAAAAAGGUUCUUCCAUUCCUUUAUGGUUUGUGGUGGGUAACGAUUGUGCUUGAUUUAAUAAUUAUUUCACGUUUAAUAAAAUGAAUUUCUAUAACUUAUCAUAAUUGUAGAAGACAUGAACUUGCUGUUUAUAAUAGUUAAAAAAACAUACAUAUAUAAACAAAAAAUAUAUUAAAAACUAAAUUAGAAGUCAUUAAAGAAUACUCAGCUAGAAGUUAAAUAUACUCUAUAAAUGUGUUAUACCAUGCAUGCACAUAUAGGUUUCCCAUUUGUAUUGAUAUCAAAAAUAUCAUACCUGCAAUAGGGCCGGAUUAACUUUUAGAAAAAAACUUGUAAUGCCCUUCUCAAAAAUACAAAUUUGUGCCCUCGUUCUUCAUAUAAUGUUUUUAUAAUGCCCUAUAUACAACUAAACUUUUUUGUAAAAUUUGGGAUGUCCUAAGCGGCCGGUUCCUCUUUUUGUAAUUCGGACCAGGCUUGACCUGCAAAUAUUUGGUCACGGUAACAUCCAGCUAAUUUUAAUCUUAUAAAAAAAAGAAAGAAAAUCCAGCUGAUCAUAUGAAAAAAACAAAAAUAUUCUGCAAAUCCAUCACAUGUAAAAUAUACACACCAAUGUUUCAACAAAUUGUUCUCAAGAAAAAUCACCAGGAAAAUAACGAGUGUAAACCUUAUCAUCAAAGAAAAACAAAACAAAACCAUUCAUCCAUGACUUGGGUGACAUGCCGGACCAAAAUUCCUAAAGGCAUAAGAGAAAACCCCCAAUCAACUUUUACAUUGUGUCUGCAAUAAGAGAUUAACUGAGGUGUUUCCCAAUGUACUACUGUGGCUACCCUAAUCAUUUAUCAUCACAAAAGCAACCAAAACUGCUCUGAAAAAAACAAUCGUUACAGAUAAUAGAGAUAUAAAUACAGUUGACAUAUUUUGAUGUAAUCUAUUAUACGAGUCUACUAUAUCCAGUUAGGAUUAUGAUAAAACUUUUUUUAUAAAUACGCUCUUUGGUGAAUCAAUAUACAAACACUUAUCCAUUCUAUUUCAUGGUAUCAAGAAAAUGAAGAUUCUCAAACCUAAAAUCUCUUCUUUAAUAUUCUCUUUGAUAAUUUUUUUUUCUCUACGCCAAUUAUCGAUUAUAUCAAACAUGGCUAUUUUGAUAUCAAACAUGGCUAUUUUGUCUUCUAUUACAUCUACUACAACUUCUCCCGCGAUGGAGAUCUCUUCUUUGGAUCCUCACUAUACACAACAUUUUUAAAACCAAUGAUUAAAUAAUUUAUAAUAAAGACAUAUUUAGAAAUUUUAUUAUAAAGCAGAUAUAAACCUAUUCAUGUUCUAAAACAUAUUUUAGACAUUGUUAUAAUCUUACAAAAAUCAAAUACUAAUUAACUAGGUGUUUUUUCCCAUACAUGCAGACAUAAACGUCUUACGAAUACUUAUUAAUUUUUAUAUUGGAAAAAUAAUAGUAUAGACUAACAGAAGUUAAUUUUUUUUAACCAUAAAAUAUUUUGAUUUCUCUUAGUAUAAAUAAAAUACGGUGAAAAAACAAACAAGGUUUUUAUAAUAUAGUUAGUUUUUGGUAGGCCUUAGAUUUUGAACCAAACCAAAUUCCCAACCAAACCAAAAUUUUGGUUAGGUCAUCCAGAAGUUUCGUUCGUUAUUGUAGGUUUUCUAAAAAACUUCGGUUUCAUUUGAGUUUGGUUCGACAAUCGGUUACUUUGGUCUUCUUCUUAAAAGAAUUAUAACUAUACUAAAAAAUUUCGAAUAACUAACCGAAUUUUAACAAAAUUAUACAUAUAUCUAACUGUAAUAAAACAUUUUUGUAGGAUUUUUAAAACCGAACUAACCGAAUACUGUACCAAACUUUAUUUCUGGUUAAUUCGAUAAUAUUUAUGUUGAACCGAACUAACCAAAAACUGAACUACCGGAACUGAAUAUUCUGAAUUAACCAAACCAACAUGCUAAGGUUUCGGUAUUGUUUUGAUAAAACCGGACCGAAGUACACACCUUUCAUAAAACUAAAAAAGAUGUAAAUGUUAAUUAAAACCUCUUUAGAAAUUGCUGACACUUGGAUGACCAAAGUUUGACCACAUGAAAUUGUUACCAUUUAGGAAAGUUUGACCACAUAAAACUGUUACCAAAACGAAGCGGUUGAUGUUUACUAUAAGAAGGCCACCUCCCUUCGAUUCAGCACACACAUUACCUAGUUUGUUUGAAGAAAACGGUUUUUCCUUUACAUCUAUAAAUAAAUUAUUCAUUACUUUAUUUAAAAUCUCCCAAAUUAUAUAACUUUUACAUUACAUUAUUUGAAUUCCAAAUAAUUAUUCUGUUUUCAACGAUCUUUUGUUUUUAUGCGGUUUUUGUUAAUAUUUCAGGGUUUUCUCCCCAACGAAAAUGAGUGAUUAUAGUCAAAACGACAAUGGUAUAAAACCGAUCAGCGAGACCUCUUCUCGAACCAGCUUAACAACUCCUCAGUCUGAAAGAAGAUCUGGUGGUAUCGUUGAAAGAGUAUCCGCAAGGAUAGGAAGAGAUAUUCCACCACUGAAUAUGGAACACAUCAACCCGACUCUUGUUUGCUUUCUUGUUAACGUAACAUCUCCAGGAUUCAGUAGUCUUUCUCCAUCUUUGCAAUCUCCAAAUAUGUUGACUGACUCUUCUUCACAGGUAAGUAACAAUGUGUAUAAUAAGUUUAAGAUUGAUCUCUACACGUUAUAUGUAUAUAUUAAUAUAUGAUAAAACUAAAUUUUUAUUGUCUUUGCGUAACUUAUGUUUCAAGAUUAUCCCUCCGAGUCCAAUCCCGAAUGAUGCGACUCAGGAGAUGGUGGAAAGUUCAGGUGGCUCCCAUGCAACGAUGAUGAUAACCAACAACAAUCUUCCUCAUCAGCCAAUGGACAUCGAUCUGUCUCCUCAAGGAUGUAAUAGAUUUAUAGUGUCUCGAAUUCGCUUUCAGUUUUGAUUUUCAGAAUAAUAAUAUUGUUGUUAUUUACAGGUAAAAAAGGCACUGCUGAUAUUCCAACGGAAGAGUCUGUUGAUAUCACAUCUCAUGAAUCUAAUGCUGAUCCUAUUAGUGCUCCGUUACUCCCUUCUUUUGACUCUGAAGUUGUUUCUGAAAAGGAUGCUAUGAACCUCAUCUCCCUUAAAAGUGGUAGCGAAGAUGAUGACAAGGACAAAUAAUACAACCAAGAGGAAGACAAAGCCAAAGAUCACAACAUUGUUGUAGAAUAAUAAUAAUAAUAAUAAUAAUAAUAAUAAUAAUAAUAAUAAUAAUAAUAAUAAUAACAAUAAUAAUAAUAAAUUUCAGAAUUGAUAUAUUGAAUAAUAAGUUUGACCUGAAUUACAUGAUGUACAAAAUCUUGUACUUAUCCCCGUCAUUAUGAUUCUAGUAUAGAUUUUGAAUUCUUGGUUUAGAAUAACUAUCAAUAUAAAAAGUUCGAUAAAUAUAAGAAAUUUAGACCUGAGAAAUGAGGAGAGAGUUACUCAAGAGGAAGGACAUCGCACCUGACUGCAACCUCCGGGUAGCUGGCUCUUCAAAGUUUCCUCUCAAACAUAUCCUAAGCUCUCUCGCAACCAAUUUAUCCCCUUUGAUCUUUGUCUUUUCUCUCAUAUCCUUACAAACUUCUUCGGUACAUGUUGUGAACACAACCUUGGAUCGAUUAUGUGCAUUAGGUAGCGGAAUUUCAGAUUUCACCGUAUAUAAAAUAAAUGAUAAACUGCUGUUACAAAUAAACCAUAUAAAUACUAAAUUUCUUGUAUAGAAAUUAACUGAUUUAGAACACUUACCAAGAUCAACUUUCUCCCAAACAUCAUCAAGAAACAAAAUAAACCGUGUCUUAAUAUCUCAAUGAUCUUUGCAGCUUUCUCUCUUUUUUUGGUAGAAAAGAUAUAUAUAUAUAUAUAUUUUUUUUUUGGUAGAAAAGAUAUACAUAUAUAUAUAUAAAAGAAACUUUACAUCUUAAUUAAAUUCAUAUAAAAAAAUUUACCUCAUUUACAUAAUUCCCUCGCAGGGAAAAUAUCGUAUCAAACAUUAUUGGAGUAAAAGACGAAACAAGACCCAAAGUGUCAUCAUUCAGGUUGAAAGCGAAGAAGGCCAUGUGACACCCUAAUCAUUUAUCAUCACAUAAGCAACCAAAACUGCUCUGAAAAAAAAACAUUCGUUACAGAUUAUAGAUAUAAAUACAGUUGACAUAUUUUGAUGUAAUCUAUUAUACGAGUCUACUAUAUCCCGUUAGGAUUACGAUACAACUUCUUGUAUAAAUACUCUCUUUGGUGAAUCAAUAUACAAACACUUAUCCAUUCUAUUUAAUGGUAUCAAGAGAAUGAAGACUCUCAAACCUAAAAUCUCUUCUUUGAAAUUCUCUUUGAUAAUUUGUUUUUCUCUACACCAAUUAUCGAUAAUAUCGAACAUGGAUAUUUUGUCUUCUGUUACAUCUAUUACCACUUCUCCCGCGAUGGAGAUCUCUUCUUUGGAUCCUCACGAUACACAACAUUUUUAAAACCAAUGAUUAAAUAAUUUAUAAUAAACACAUAUUUAGAAAUUUUAUUAUAAAGCAGAUAUAAACAUAAUCAUGUUCUAAAACAUAUUUUAAACAUUGUUAUAAUCUUUCAAUAAUCAAUACUAAUUAACUAGGUAUUUUUCCCACACUUGCGGACAUAAACGUCUUACGAAUACUUACUAUUUUUUUAUUGGAAAAAUAAUAGUAUAGAUUAACAGAAGUUAAUUUUUUUAACCACAAAAUAUUUUGAUUUCUCUUAGUAUAAAUAAAAUACGGGGAAAAAAACAAGGUUUUUCAUAAUAUAGUUAGUUUUUGGUAGGCCUUAGAUUAAAACCAAACUUCCCAACCAAACCAAAAUUUUGGUUACGUCGUCCAGAAGUUUCGUUCGUUAUUGUAGGUUUUCUAAAAAACUUUGUUUCAUUUGAGUUUGGUUCGACAAUCGGUUACUUUGGUUUUCUUCUUAAAAUAAUUAUAACUAUACUAAACAUUUUCGAAUAACUAACCGAAUUUAUAUAUAAUUUUAAAAAAAUUAUACAGAUAUCUAACUGUAAUAAAAAAUUUUUGUAGGAUUUUUAAAACCGAACUAACCGAAUACUGUACCAAACUUUAUUUCUGGUUAAUUCGGUAUUAUGUAUGUUGAACCGAACUAACCGAAAACUGAACUGCCGGAACUGAAUAUUCUGAAUUAACCAAACCAACAUGCUAAGGUUUCGGUAUUGUUUUGAUAAAACCUGACCGAAGUACACAUCUUUCAUAAAAACUACAAAAUAUGUAAAUGUUAAUUAAAACCUCUUUAGAAAUUUCUGACACUUGGAUGACCAAAGUUUGACCACAUGAAAUUGUUACCAUUUAGGAAAGUUUGACCACAUAAAACUGUUACCAAAACGAAACGGUUGAUGUUUACUAUAAGAAGGCCACCUCCCUUCUAUUCAGCACACACAUUACCUAGUUUUGUUUGAAGAAAACGGUUUUUCCUUUACAUCUAUAAAUAAAUUCUUCAUUACUUUAUUUAAAAUCUCCCAAAUUAUAUAAAUUUUACAAUAAAUUAUUUGAAUUCCAAAUAAUUAUUCUGUUUUCAACGAUCUUUUGUUUUUAUGCGGUUUUUGUUAAUAUUUCAGGGUUUUCUCCCCAACGAAAAUGAGUGAUUAUAGUCAAAACGACAAUGGUAUAAAACCGAUCAGCGAGACCUCUUCUGGAACCAGCUUAACAACUCCUCAGUCUGAACGAAGAUUUGGUGGUAUCGUUGAAAGAGUAUCUGCAAGGAUAGGAAGAGAUAUUCCACCACUGAAUAUGGAACACAUCAACCCGACUCUUGUUUGCUUUCUUGUUAGCGUAACAUCUCCAGGAUUCAGUAGUCUUUCUGCAUCUUUGCAAUCUCCAAAUAUGUUGACUGACUCUUCUUCACAGGUAAGUAACAAUGUGUUUAAUAAGUUUAAGAUUGAUCUCUACACGUUAUAUGUAUAUAUUAAUAUAUGAUAAAACUAAAUUUUUAUUGUCUUUGUGUAACUUAUGUUUCAAGAUUAUCCCUCCGAGUCCAAUCCCGAAUGAUGCGACUCAGGAGAUGGUGGAAAGUUCAGGUGGCUCCCAUGCAACGAUGAUGAUAUCCAACAACAAUCUUCCUCAUCAGCCAAUGGACAUCGAUCUGUCUCCUCAAGGAUGUAAAAAAGGCACUGCUGAUAUUCCAACGGAAGAGUCUGUUGAUAUCACAUCUCAUGAAUCUAAUGCUGAUCCUAUUAGUGCUCCUUUACUCCCUUCUUUUGACUCUGAAGUUGUUUCUGAAAAGGAUGCUAUGAACCUCAUCUCCCUUAAAAGUGGUAGCGAAGAUGAUGACAAGGACAAAUAAUACAACCAAGAGGAAGACAAAGACAAAGAUCACAACAUUGUUGUAGAAUAAUAAUAAUAAUAAUAAUAAUAAUAAUAAUAAUAAUAAUAAUAAUAAUAAUAAUAAUAAUUAUAAUAAUAAUAAUAAUAAUUAUAAUUAUAAUAAUAAUAAAUUUCAAAAUUGAUAUAUUGAAUAAUAAGUUUGACCUGAAUUACAUGAUGUACAAAAUCUUGUACUUAUCCCCGUCAUUAUGAUUCUAGUAUAGAUUUUGAAUUUUUGGUUUAGAAUAAUUAUCAAUAUAAAAAGUUCGAUAAAUAUAAGAAAUUUAGACCUGAGAAAUGAAGAGAGAGUUACUCAAGAAGAAGGACAUCGCACCUGACUGCAACCUCCGGGUAGCUGGCUCUUCAAAGUUUCCUCUCAAACAUAUCCUAAGCUCUCUCGCAACCAAUUUAUCCCCUUUGAUCUUUGUCUUUUCUCUCAUAUCCUUACAAACUUCUUCAGUACAUGUUGUAAACACAACCUUGGAUCGAUUAUGUGCAUUAGGUAGCGAAAUUCCAGAUUUCACCGUAUAUAAAAUAAAUGAUAAACUGCUGUUACAAAUAAACCAUAUAAAUACUAAAUUUCUUGUAUGGAAAGUAGCUGAUUUAGAACACUUACCAAGAUCAAAUUUCUCCCAAACAUCAUCAAGAAACAAAAUAAACCGUGUCUUAAUAUCUCAAUGAUCUUUGCAGCUUUCUCUCUUUUUUUGGUAGAAAAGAUAUAUAUAUAUAUAUAUAUUUUUUGGUAGAAAAUAUAUACAUAUAUAUAUAUAUAUAAAUAAACUUUACAUCUUAAUUAAAUUCAUAUAAUAAAAUUUACCUCAUUUACAUAAUUCCCUCGCAGGGAAAAUAUCGUAUCAAACAUUACUGGAGUGAAAGACGAAACAAGACCCAAAGUGUCAUCAUUCAGGUUGAAAGCGAAGAAGGCCAUCCUGACGAUGGUUUUCGCUGGAGAAAAUAUGGUCAAAAGUUGUCACAAAGAAUGCAAAUCCAAGGUUAUAUAUUUCGUUCACUUCAAAAUUAGUCAGACAUUUUUGGAAAAAUAUUAUAUAUUUAUUUUGGUAAUCACAGGAGUUACUACAGAUGCACAUACACUGGGUGUAAGGUGACGAAGCAUGUGGAGAGAAGCGUAGACAAUGUGAAUUUAGUGGUGGCUAUGUACGAUGGGAUACAUGAGCACGUUCCACCACCUGAACGCAUAAGCAAAUCCAGUACAAAGAAUAAAUCCGGUCGCAAUGUCUCAAGCUCCUAGCAUGCAAACCCUUGUGUUAGGUAUGCCGCCUUAUUCCUCUUCGGCCUCUCAGCUUUUCCCUUCUGCCUUGGCCCCACAACUGAAUGUGACAAGUUUACAGGUUGACAAGAAUCAUGGUGUUAUGAACCGGAAUGAUGAACCGAAUAUUGAUCCUGUGAUACCCGACGGUACAGAGGUAUCCGAGGGGAUAAGGGAGCGACUAUUUCGUAACUUUGGUAUCGAACUUUAGAUGGGAAAACAUUAACCAAAAGAUAAAAAAGAAAGAUGUAAACCCUUUAUAAUUAAUAAAUCCUUAUCUUAUAAUUACAAAUAAUAAUGACCAAAGAUAUACAAAAUCUUGUACUUAUCCAUUUCAUUAUGGUUUUAGUGCAUAUUACUCUUGAGUUGACCUAUUUAUUCUCCAAUUGUUACAGUGUUACUGUGUUAGGAUGGUUAAUCCAGAUAAUAAACUAUAUGUAUAUGUGAACUAUAUAAAUCAAACCGACAUCCAGUGAUACAGAAGAAAAACUAAACCCUGACUAUAAUCCAAUUAAACAGAUUGUUUACGCUCAUGCUCAUCCUCUUUUUAAGUGAGUAUCACUUUUACUCUUGCCAUUAUAUUAGCUUUUUGGAGCCAAGUUUCUCAUGAGAAAGUUGGAUUAAGAGUGUAGCAAACUUUAGAUUGUAGGUCAUAUUAAAUAAUGAGAAGUGUACAAGUGAGUAUAAAUAUAUACAAGUGUUUGAUCAUAUCUCUCCAGCAUUUGUUUGAGUAAAUUUCAGGAGUUUCUUUAUUGUUUUUACUAAUUUUUUUAAAGAGAGAGAAAGAAAAACGAAACAAAGCAUAUCCUAAGCAAACAAAUCUCUUUUAUUUAGGUAAUCUAAUCUCCAGGAUUAAAAGUUAGCUUUCUGAUUGUAAUAUAUUAAAGUGGUCUAAACAACAAAUGACCAGUCUUUGACUUGCUAUUACCCAUUGAAAUAACAAAGACCAGAAGGAUGAUAAACCAAAGGAGUCAAUUCCUAUCCAAAAAGACUCAACCCAUGGACGUUAUAACAAGUAUACCCAAUGCAGCUAUGAGAAGAUACUGCAAGAAGAAGAUUAAAAAAAUGACACAGAGUGUUCAUUGUGGAUUGGACAUAGAGUGAGAAAAGAGAAUGUAUUAACCUAGAUGAUAGGCUUUUCUGUCAUGAUUAUAGUCACCCAUCCAACAUAAGGCAAGAAGCUGAAGCAGGCACAAAGGUAAAACCAUUUAUGAGUAAUUACAGCUUUUGGUUUACUUUACACACUAUACACUUAUGUGAUUAAAGUAAAUUAAUUAUCCUACAGCACGACUCAUUAUAUGAUGUCGAUGAAGCCAAAGCUGACCUUUAGCAUAGAGAAUUCUAUCAUGGUCAAGGUUAUUGUCACCUGUAAACAAUAUAAAUGAAAAUGUAAAUGGGCGUUGAAUGAUAACAAUAUGAUAAACAACUCACACUCAAUUCAAAUAAAUAAAACCAGAACCUUUGGUCAAAACAACGAUUUCUCCAGUACUUUCCCUUUCGUGAACCUGUAAUGUAAUGAACCCCCAAAGAAUCAGAAUCAUCUAGGUGCUACAAUCUAAGCACAGGGAGAUGAUAAUGAGGAGAUCUAUAGAAAAAGUUACCUUAAUGACACGAUGGACAAUUGGAAUAUCACGACCCUGAAAAGAGAAGCAUGAAUAAAAAUACAAAUGAGGUGAAAGGUUCAUGCAUAAGUAA
Molecule: long non-coding RNA, 15772 nt
Organism: Brassica rapa (field mustard)
Lineage: Eukaryota; Viridiplantae; Streptophyta; Magnoliopsida; Brassicales; Brassicaceae
Source: RefSeq, a predicted model, not a curated record